UCAAUUUUACAAUGUUAAACUUUCUCUUUCAAAUGAUUUGUUUGUCAUUUUAACAUGUUUUUUUUUCUACCAUGGUAUAUCAUCCAUCAAUCCAUUUUCUUUGCCGCUUAUCCUCACAAGGGUCGCAGGAGUGCUGGAGCCUAUCCCAGCUGUCAACGGGUAGGAGGCGGGGUAGCCCCUGAACUGAUCGUCAGCCAAUCGCAGGGCACAUGGAGACAAACAUCCGCACUCACGACCACACCUACGGGCAAUUUAGAGUGUCCAAUUAAAGUUGCAUGUUUUUGGGAUGUGGGAGGAAACCGGAGUGCCCACCCAGAGAAAAGCCAUACGGGGAGAACAUGCAAACUCCACACAGACGGGUCCUGGAUUGAACCCAGGACCUCAGAACUGUGAGGCCAACGCUUUACCAGCUGAUCCACCGUGCCGCAUUUUCCCUCGUCCGGGCAGCACUUCGUGGACGUCGCAAAACACGAGUCACUUUUUAGGCUUUCUGCUUUUCCAAAAUGGACCAAAAUAAACUGCAACAAAAAAGCACCAAAAAAAUGAAAUAUAUGUAAAAAUCCCCGAUGAUGCUCACAAAUAUCUCCCGUGCGCCUCACCUGCAGAUAAACCCCCCCCCCCCCCCAAAAAAAAGAUGACCCGUUCUGCAGGAAGUGCCGCUGUUCUUAUUUGUAUUGGACUAAUUGCGAUUUUACAGGCGGUUGGCCCGCGACCAUCAUCCCGGCGCGCUCGUGCGGCUGACGAGAAACGCUUGGGAAAGGAGGGAGCGAAGAGAAAACACGAGCGGCGGAUUGCGAGCAUUCUGCAACGCAUGAGGUCAUGAGAAUUGGAGAGCGGCGCUGUCGGACUGAUGAAAAUGACUCACCGGAGGGACAUCGGCGCACUUGGUCACCGAGAGGUCGCCUCCAUCCUCGAAAGACAGAGCGAGAAAUGCACCGUUAUUGAAUUUCACUUUUUUUUUUUUUUGUCUCUCGCGUGUGUCGUCCUCCCGCCGCACAAUAAACGACGUCGGGAUUCAAAAACAACGGGUUGUGGGAACGCGGAGGGGCCGACGCCGGAGCUAUUUCUGUCAGAAGCGGUCCCGUUACCCUGGAGGCGGCUCGUGUUUUCCACACAGUUUCGCCGCUUGGCAGUUGAACGUCAAGCCCACCCCUCCCUUCCAUCCUUCCACCGUCCUCCUCUUCUGCACCCCCCCCCCCCUACCUCCGACCACCCCACCCGACAGGAAAGCGCCCGUGGCCCGCUACGGAGACAGCCUGACUGUGCAGGCGGCCCGGCAGAUGCACUGGAGAUAAGUUUGUAUGUGUAAGCUGGGCCGCGACCCUCGGCGGCAGGACAUUGACCAGAUCCUGUCAGGGAGAGGGCGAGAGCCCGGACCCAGUGCCUCCUCUCUGACACCCCCCCAUCGCCACCCCCGUCCCCUUCCCCAGCCUACUGUCUCCGUGCGUGGCUUCCCCAAAGCCCAGCAGGGGCCACGGGGGGGUGGGGGGGGGACAGAACUCCGACCACCUCAGCCGCCGGCCCCUCUCUGGAGCCAAGACUUUCCUCUUCUUCCACAACGCCUCCUUGUAUGCACAGUAGAGAUGCCCCCCCCCCCCCCACAUACACACAAUGAGCCCCCCAAGAUAACACCCCCCACCCCCAGUCCCCCCAGAAAGAUAAUGGAUGCGAGUGUAUGACAGAGACGCCGGGGCCACUUAUAAAAACAGCAUCUUUCAUGCGACGUCAGCACUUUUUGGCCUCUUCUUUGGCGUCACAGGAAACGCGAAGGCUGGAAAUGUGGAAAUACAGACGACGCUUGCGUCUGUUGUUGUCUAAUGAGAGUUAUUUUGUUGUCCCUUCCAGGGUGCACAAAAAUCAGUGAAUGGAGCUGCCAGCAUCAAUCUGGAUGCUAGCGACAGCUAGCCGCGGUAAACAAUACUCAAUUGUGCCGGCCCCAUUCAAAGGUUCCCAUCGAAGGACAUUUGCAGUACGUUAAUAGAACCCAAAAUGCAAGCUGGUACUGAAGAGUUUUUCUGAUUCCCCCCCCAAAAAAAAAAAAUCUGGACUUCAUUCUUCAGAGUCUGUGUUCUGUUAUGGUCGGCUUAACUGUCAAAAAGGAAGCGCCGCUGGUCUAUUCCCCGGACUAACGAGUGGGAUUGCUGAUUCCUCUGUCCUCAAGAACCGCGGGUAAAAGAAUUCCACGUCCGCGUCUUUUGGAGGACGAUGACGUUCAGUGGGGGGAAAGCAAGAAUGUUUUUUUUUUUGUUUGUUUAGCCAGAAUCAGAAGCGCUAAUGAGGAUUUCCUGCUCCUUAGGCUCCGCCGCUAAAGUCCUCACGCUAAAUUGCUACGCCACUGUUUUAUAGACUUUCGCCUUCAUGCUAGCGGAGACUCUUCUGUCACAUAGAACACCAGACACCUUCCGCCAACUGUUCCACCCCACUUGGACCUGUUUCUUCAAUUUCCUUACCACACUCUCCAUUGCUCUGUAUUGUUGUUGACCUCAAGUAUUUCAAGUCAGUCCUUUGAACCUAACUCGUGAUGUUUCCAAAUGAUCUAGAACUGCUUGUUAUCGUUCACCUGGAAAAUGGUCACCUGGUAUGUGGCUGUCGAAAGAAAUCUCUUAUGUGCCAUGAUAAGCUCAUAUGGUAACAGUAUUGUUUACCGUUUGUAUUUCGUUCUGAAGUUGAAGAUCUUGUCUGGAUUUAACUGCUGCGGACUGUGACGACGUUGUUUAUUUUCUAUUCCAACCGCGUACAGAAACGUCACACAUACAGACCGACGUCACUGAAACUCUUCUUGUGUCUGAUUCUCAACUGGUGGGUCCGGACUCAAAAGCCAAUUUGUGUCGCAGAGAGCUAGUUAAAAAACAAAAAAUAGUCCAUUGAUCCUAUUUGUAUUGAGAUCUUUUAGUUCCGGUUCAGAGGCGUACCAAGCUCCCGCAUGGAACAUAUUAGAUAAGCCACAGGAAAUGUUAUUCACUUCUGCGCUAGUCACUAGUUUACUCCAUAAACAGAUAAAGUGUACCUCCACCGUACCAUGCCCAGUAAAAUGCUUUCGGUGCUACUGUACAGUAUGUCAAAUUCAUUUGAAAUGGCAUAACGUAGUGUUUUAAAGUAAUACAAGUGAGGAAACUUUCUCGGUUGGGGUUCAGUUCAAACUCAUCGGGACUCGACAUUGUUUGGAAAGUGCAGGAAAACAUCAAAAUCAGUCGGUUCCUGCCGCCUGACGUCAGCGCCGAGACUCGGUUGUGAUGACUAAAGGCGCUUCUGACCUUGUGAUCGCGCUUUUCUCGCAGAGAGGGAGCAAUAAUCACCCCCCCCGAACAUCACACCCCUUCCGAAUAAUCACCCGAAGCGGCCAGAAUCCAUCUUUCACCCGACAGGGCCGCCUCCUCCGCCGGAGGCGACGCGAGGCCGAGCCUCGCAGCUCCUCGCGAGCUUCCACCCGGUUCUUCGUCAUCGGAUUCCAAGUGGGAGGGAGGCACGAAGACGGCCUGACUGACUCCUACUGACGCCCUCUUCCAGGAAACGUCGGCGGCGGCUCCCUCGGAAACAAACACAACUUGGAUUGCAAAGCCGACAGGAAAGAAUCCAUCAGGUGUGUCGUGGCCCCGAAGCGUCGCAGCCGCUUAUCCUCAGGAGGGUCGCAAGGAGUGCAGGAGCCUAUCCCGGGCUGUCAACGGGCAGGAGGCGGGGGACACCCUGAACUGGUCGCCAGCCAAUCGCAGGGCACGUCGAGACAAACGACAGUUGCACCUCGGGGCAAUUUAGGGUGUCCGAUUAAUGUUGCAUGUUUUUGGGAUGUGGGAGGAAACCCACCCGGCCACGGGGAGAACAUGCAAACUCCACACAGGCAGGUCCGGGAUGGAACCCUGGACCUCAGAACUGUGAGGCCAACACUUUUCAUAUCACUGUUCCACCUUCUUAUAAUUUGUA
Molecule: long non-coding RNA, 3918 nt
Organism: Syngnathoides biaculeatus (alligator pipefish)
Lineage: Eukaryota; Metazoa; Chordata; Actinopteri; Syngnathiformes; Syngnathidae
Exons: 3
Source: RefSeq, a predicted model, not a curated record